CGUUGAAACAUUGCUUCCCAUACGAUCACCGAAAUUAAGCAACGUCGAGCCUGGUUAAUACCUGGAUCGGUGACUAUUUGAGAAUAGUAGGUGC
Molecule: non-coding RNA, 94 nt
Organism: Acanthosepion pharaonis
Lineage: Eukaryota; Metazoa; Mollusca; Cephalopoda; Sepiida; Sepiidae
Source: the annotation of a GenBank genome assembly